AUAAAAAAAUGAAUCUGGCUGAUGUUCAAAGUUUUCUGAAGUAUCUUCUACAGUUCCGAUUGAAGAGUCUGCGCGCUAAAGCCUGUUGAAACAGGAAGGUGUUACUCUGCUUGGCAAAGAUUUAUUGCAGACCCAGCCAACGCACAGGGCACAAUUUUGCAAACGCUGUAGAGAUAAGGUGCUCAGCGCUGAGUUAAGCCAGUUCAUCAAGCUAAGUAAUCAAGUUAUUCCUUCGGUUCUCAAUAGACUGGAAGUUCGAGCCACCUGCUCUGACAGGUGUAGGUUUGCAGCUCUCAUAAUCAUCUGGUUGGCAGUAUUUAAUGGCACUAGGUGAUCCCCAGUCACCAUGUUCAGUGAGAGGGAUUUUAUGGAGGUAACCCAGGCAAGUGGGGGUAACCGGCUGUGCGUUGCAAGCCACAAAAUGAACUAUAUCUUCGGUGAGUGUAGAUUUGUGAUGUCGGAGGAGGAGUACACUUGGCUUAAACUCUUCCAUCAAAUCAGGCCUCAUCUGAGUGGCUUCAGCAAUUCUUUUUCACUUCCUGCGGCAAAACAUACGAUCAUCUCGGGGAGUAUGUGGCCCAAAUAUUUGCUGAGUUCGGCAUUGGAAGUAAAGUGACGUUUGUUACACUUCGAUGAAGUGUUGCUACAAUGAACUUUAAUCAAGAGUCGGUUACAGAUUGCCGAGCCGUGGCCGACCAUAUGUCUCACUCUACCAUAAUUUGCCUCGGAAUACCAGCCGGGCCCAGUCACUAAUUGAGGGACAAAUUAAUCCAUGAUCCACUGUUGAAUAAAUAAAGUGUAUUACUUUGUAAUUCACCCGUGUAUGUGUGUGUCAUUUGAUCAUAGUUGAGUAGUUAUGGAGACCUGGGGGUCUGAAGGUCCAGGUAGCCUGUGGAUUGAUGAGUGAGAUGUGGGACUCAUUGAUUUGCAUUGGGUUCCCAGGCGCAAUUUCAGGACCGGCCAAAAGGUGGCACCUGGGAACCCAAUGUAAAUCAAUGACAGAGCUUGGCUGAAAAACGACUAACUUUCGCC
Molecule: long non-coding RNA, 1032 nt
Filed under: Salmo salar (Atlantic salmon)
Lineage: Eukaryota; Metazoa; Chordata; Actinopteri; Salmoniformes; Salmonidae
Description: lncRNA (ENSSSAG00000119931.1, ENSSSAG00075030246.1)
Source: RNAcentral